CAACACGACAUCCCUCUCCAGCUCAUUCCAGCGCAUUCCACCAGUUGCUCUCUGCCGCGCCCCUGGCCCCUCUGUGCGAGCUCGUUCCAUAGCCGGCUUCGAGCUCGCCCUGCUCGGUCAUGGCGUGGACACCAGACGAGCUCCCUAGUGCUCGCCCCUCUCCAGCCGAGCUCCUCUCAUCUCUCCCUCGCGUCUUCCUCUCCCUGCCAUGGACGCCGGAGUUCCGCUACUCGCCAUGGCUGCCGGACGAGUCUCUUCCGUCUUUGCUCGACAUCUUCGAGCUUGGUUCCUGCGUGCGCGCUGCACUACUCCCAUGGCGUGUUCCUGCGCCCGGCUGGAUUUCCCUGCUGAGCUCGGUCACAUGCCUGGGCACCGUGUUCUGCACGCUCGCCGGUUUCUUCGCCUCCAUCAGCCGCGGCAACGUGCUCUUGCUGGCGCCCCUAGUCACAACUCGAGUUGUCUUUCUGGCUGGCCACCAGCGUGUCGUCUAGGGACGAUUCUUCACUGUUGCUUCUCCACGGCCGUCACCUUCCAUGGCCGGCGUUCCCCUCUCUUCCAUUGCCGCGAUGCUCCCUCGCUCCUGCUGCUCGCCGUGGCCAGCAGCUUCAAAUCCUUGUAGCAUGUCUCCGCACUCUGCGUCAUCACCGUCGUGGUUUUUGGAGUUCGUCGUGACGCGCUGCCGAUGAUCUGUGUAUAGCGGGAGAUCUUCGCAAGUUCACGCAGCUUCGUGGUAAUUAAUUUUGAUGGUGAUUUGUGUUAUUUAGCGCUAUGUUUGUUUCCUUUGUGUGUUUUUGUGUGCGACCGUGGAGAAAGAUUUGAUGCUGAAGCCGAAGCCAGCGCGAUGCUUCUCGAUUGUUCGAUGAAAUGGUCAAGUUGAGUAUUAGUGAACUAUAUUCGCUACCUCCGUUAGCAGAGUUAUUAGAUGGAUUAGCUAAGUAUGUUGAUUUGAUUAUCUUAUUUGCCUAUACCCAUAGUGGCGGUGUUAGAUAUUGGUUCAACUGCUUCGUAUAUACGGUGUGUAGUUUAAUUAAUAUCGUAAAAUAUAGUUUUAGUAUUCGAAACGAUUAGCUGUUAAGUCCUGAUAUUGUUGAUUGUACUAAUUGUAUUUAUAUAGUAAAAUCGAUAGCCUGUCUUAAUCGUCUUUUUAUCCUAUAUGUAGUAGUCGAUUAAAUGUCAUGGUUAGAUGUUACUUGUGCUUCCGAAUAUUUAGAACCGAGCCACAUUGAUGAAUUUGCUUCCACUAAAAUAUGUGAUAUACAAGUUAGUCUAAGUGAAUAAUUUAGAAAUACUCAUUAAGUUACUUCUGUUCUAUAUUAAUGAACCUAGAUUUUUGGUGAUCUUUUGAUGUAUGCGCUAGCUUUAAAAAAAUAUAGAACCUAUGCAUGGUUUAAUAUUUCUUGAUAUUUGAGUUAGGUCUGGUUAAGAUAGAGAGGGUGAUUGUUGUAUUUAGUAAUAUGUUGAUAUUAGUAUCAUGAAUGUUGUAAUGCAUCUCGCCUUUAAGUGUUUAAUUCUAUAUCGUGUAGCAUUAUUUAGGUUUGUAAUAUUCAUGUUUAUAUGCAUUCAUGUGCAUUAUGCAAAUCAUUUAGGUACGUUUAUUGACUACGUGAUACGGAGGAUCAGAACUGAGUCGACCACAAGAUGUCGCCGCGCGUGAGUUUCUCCACAAGAUGAUGCUGACGGACGAAACUGAAGAUGGACAGACGAAGCAAGUAUCAGAACAAAAGGAUGAUCGCCAAGUGGUCGUCGUCUAACAAACACUAACGUAGUGUUUAUUCCAGGCAAGCCCCGGUGCAUUUACCCCUUCCUUGUGUUUUUAAAAAGAUUUUUAUACACUUUAAGUCUAGCGAAAUGUGCAUUAAGUUUAUAGGAGUUGCUUGGAAACCCUUUGAUGCAUUGCCUACCUUGAUAUCCAUACCUUUAUAGAUACUUCUGGUGAAGUAUCAAAACAUGAUUUACAAAAAUGCUUAGCCCUGCUUAUAAGCAGAUGGAGUUUGUCCUUUGCACUUAUGCCCAGCUCAGGUUUAUCCUGAGGAAGGAUGGCUUCUACCUGCAACAAUAUUUUUCUUGGGAGCAUGGUGGGAUCUUACUGCAAAGUUCCCUAUAAUGCUCUUUUCAUCCUAAGGAACACAAAACAAUCCUAAGGAUGGAAGUACUUAAAUCGGGACUUGGGCUAGGAACAGGUGAUGCUCCGCCCAAGUUAGUUAAGGAUUGGAUGCGUAUGUAGGCCUGUAUGAUCAAGGACUAUCUUAACUAGCCACAUGCCCUGGAUAUGGGACAGGAUAAGCUUGAACCCGGCUAUUCCAUACAUGAAAAGACAAUCGCGCACUGGGAGUGGAGAGAUGGCGAGAGUGGCACGUACCCUCCUGGCAAAGGACCGCCUAAAAAGGGUGGUGUGCUCUCGGGUGGCGCGGACCUGUUCAUGCAGUGGAGGAUCCGUGGGAAUGGUUGACAUAUGCAAGGGUUAAGUGCUACAUAUGUCGUGUGGUUAGAAAUCCUCAGCUGAGUAAAUCGAUUCGGAUCGCCGUUAUAUCCCCGGAGAGUGGAGACUUGAUCGCUGCCCUGCAACCUAAGUCAGGAUGUGAACCUCAUGAAUAAAAAUGAUGUUGUAUUGAUGAGAUGGUGAAAUUAGACCAGAUGCAAAUAGAGUCUAUUAAUAUUUAAUCUGACGUUAAAAUAUUGAAAGUAAGGACUCACUUUAGUAAGCUAUUUCUGCAAAAGUAUCUAAGUUGAUUUUUGCUAAAGCCUCUCCUUGAUUCCCAAAUCCAGCAUAUCCUUGAGAGUCUUUUCUUUAGUCGGGUAAGUCUUGCUGAGUAAUUCCAUACUCAGGGUUUUAUUCCCUAUUGUUUUUCAGGUCAUAGUUUUGUGCUGCUGAUGAUGGUGUUAAGUGUCGGUGGGCUCGACCUUCUUAUAAGUCUAAGUAACCCUUCUAUACUUCUUAAUGAGGAUGGUCCCUUGAGCUAGCAUAUAUUUCAAACUUAUACUUUUGUAAUCACUCCGAUAAACUAAUGUAAAAUUUUUGUAACCUGUAAAAUUUGGUAGUAAGAUUUACGCUGCAACAAUAUUGGUGUGUGUGAUUUGUGUUACUUAAUCCCGCGGUUCUGGUUGUAAGUGGUUUAUCCGAUGUCCUUGGGACACUCGGACGGAUCCUGUUAAGUUAUUUGGUGCACAUGCAUAGUCGUCUGAGGUCUUUGAGACAAGGACAGGUGCAUGUGGGCCCAAUAACUUGGGAGGUUCUGCCACAGCUGGUAUCGGAGCAGGAUUAAGUAUAAUACGGUCACAUACAUAUUUUAAAAACAAAGUUUUAGUUUUAGAAAACCUAUUUUCAACUUAACACAUUGUUGGCUUUGAAAAACAGUUUUGAAAAACUAUAAUGCUAGCGACAUCCUCUAUUAAGCCCUAAAUUAAGGACUAUCAGGUGGCUUAGUUGAAAACCAUAACCUGGUGGAUAUUGCAUACAUGUGUAUUGUUAUUUUUGAGGCCAUUCAGUUUUGAAUGGAUCGACGCUCAAGGUAAGGUGAGAUGUGAGAGCAUGACCGAACAACCGUCGGUCUAGGGAAGAGUGUAAAAAGCGCUUGACUAUAUACAUGUUCUACAUAUGUAUAUAUGAAGGUUGCGAUGUGGAGUAUUUACUUUUCUGGGAAUUCAGUACCCCAUGGAUGUGUAUGGGUAUACAGACAUGGGAAUACUGAGAAGUGUAAUGUACUUGUAACGACGCACCUACGCUCAGGUGAGAAGGUAAGUUACCAUAAUGAGUUGCCCUAUGGUUAAAGUGUGGCAACGGCGCCUAUGCCUGGCUCGGCGCUUAAUGAUGAGCUAGCCUCCAUAUAGAAAUAUAUGGAGUAUAAACUGUGAUAAACUGUCAUGUGUGAACUGCAUCAUGGGAAAAUGGGCUGUGAUGAAAUUUUCUGCAGGUACACUAACCUCGAAAACGUAUGUGUAGCUGACGACUAGCAAAAUACCGUGAGAGUCGUUAGUAUGCCACCGAGAUAGAACGCUAUCGCCACAUUAUGUUGGCAAACUCGUGAGGACGUCUAGGACGAGCAUGCAUCCUGAUUGUUGCAUCAUGUUUGUCACCUAUACACCCAAAAUGCUUCUCUCAUCUUUGUUCCAGUAACCAUUGAUUGUAGAUAAUGUGGUGUAAUGCUGAAUUAUGAACUUCGAUGAAAUAGCUAUCCUCUGUUCUUUAGGUAACCUGUUAAGGUCUUAUAUGGUGUUUGCUCUUGUGCUGGAAGUGCCGAUAGAAUGUUUGUGACCUAUUUGUGUAAACCCUAAACUAGACCAUGUUCGUGUUUAGUGAACCAUGACCCUAAAGUUGAUUUUUCCGUUACCCUUCCUUGACCCAAACUUAUACAAAUAAAUGCUUAGAUAAUUUCUUUGCUGGACAUAAAGUGUACCCUAGCUUAAAACAAGAAUCUCAAGUCAUGUUUCCAACCAAAACCAUUCCCUUGUUCGGUUGGUGCAAGCUGAUGUCCCUUAUCCAGUUUUGGCUCUUCUUAUGGAUCAUGUCGUUAUUUUAUCAACCUAACCUAGGAAAGACAUGUCCGACCAUUUUCUUGAGUUUGAUGCCUUUGGUUUCUCCAUAUUUAUCGAAGGCAUACUAAAUUAAUCCUUGACCUUGUAAUCGCUACAGUGGGUAUCAGUAACAGUCUCCCAUCAUACUCCUUUUAUCAAGUUUAGGUUAUGGCCAUGCCUUGUUCAUUUCAUCGGGCCAUAAUCUAUUUGGCUCUCUACUUGUAACCGUUUUGACAGGUAGAGUCUCUUUGUAUAUUGUCACCCUUGCCUAAUCCAUUGGUGUCGCGCGAAGUUUCUUAUUGGUUAUGUCUGGUAAUGGUGCUAUGACUAAAACUGAUGGUGCCGUGACGAAACCGAGGGCCUUCUGUGUGUGCGCACACAUGGUUGUGCUGCUCGGCACGCGCUGGUAUCACAGUUAGUAGUUGUAAUCCAUUAUGAGACUAUGUCAAUGCGUUAUCUUGGCACAAUCUGUUUUUGCUAUGUGAGAUUGUUAUUGGUGCCAGUUCGGUAGUGGUGUCACGAUUAAUGACUUAUGGUGCCGCAGCGAAACUGAGAGCCUCCUGUGAAUGCGCACACAGGACUGUGCUACUCGUCGGAUGCUGGUAUCAAGGUCUCUGGUCAUGAUCCAUUGUGGAACUACACUAAUGUGUUAUCUUCCAUAAACUACUUCCUUGAAACAAUUUCUAUGUUGUUUGUCAAGUGAUCAAGCAACAUCCAUCAUCUCUGUUGGAUCAAAAGGGCAUACCCCUUUAAUGUGUGGUCUCUUGUCCCUUUACUUUGGUAGUGACUACACACAUACAAGUUCCCUUUAUGUCCUUUGUGUAAAGGUGAAGCCUUGGAGCUUUUUAGUGUCGAGAGACAACUGAUUAGCUCUCAAAAUGGUGAUCUGUUUCCCCUGCUGCUGAGAUGCAGGAGUUUAUUCAUUCGCUCUCUUAUUUAAUCCAUGUAUUCCCGAACCAAGUCAAUUCAUCUCGCAUGGAAGAAAUGGAUGAACAACCUGACCAAAUGGAUUUCUAUCCAAAUACAUGAUCUUUUGCUAGCAGAUGUGAACUCUCAACCCUUGGCUUACCGAUGGUACUGAGAGGACAUGCCCAAUGUCAAAAGUAGUUCAACAAGUUGGUUUUACUAACUUGUAACUGCACUGUAACAAAGGUUGAGUUUAGAGAUCGUUUUAUCGAUUUGCCUGAACUCACUUUGGUUCAACCCACCCUAAAGAAAGUACUUACAAGAAUCAAGUUAAGUCGACUAAUAACCACCUAAUUAUCGCUCUAGCCAUGCCUCAAUCGUCUCACGUGUGCUUUUCCAGCAUGUGUGAUUAAGUCGAUCCAUGAUUAGUGCUGGAUAAAAUGGAGUGGUUGUAAAGUUCGUAUCUACUGAUCCAUCCGCUGGUGAUUUUCUCGAAUCUAUAUCACCUUUCAGGGACUUGGAUUUUUUGGUUAGCCACGAGUCAACUGUGAUGUUAUUCGACAUUCACACCCGUCUCUUGUGCUAAGAACUUACCAUGACCGCUUGUUGGUAAACCCCUUUCUGUGUGUUUUACCCAAGAGGUUGCAUCUGGUUCUGUUUGGGUAAGGUCAUAUAUCUACCGCUCACCCAACAGAAUCAGAUAGUAUGGUGUCAUCAGGAAAAAGCAAACUGCACACAUGGGACCUUAUGUGUUCUUCUGGCAGACAUCGUCUCUAUUGGUGGACAUCUCUAAAUUGGCUUAAGUCGAUACAUGUUAUGCCCACUAGAGAAACCACAUCCUGAGACACUUGCCUUCGCUCAGAACUGCCUUAUGAUUAUCGCUGAUAUGGACGUGGGUUACAUGCUUCUCUACUCUUGAAAGUCUUUCGCUCCGAAUCUCGGGACGAGAUUCUUUUAAGGGGGGAGGGCUGUAACACCCCAGGUGUUUAUAUUCCGCUCGACAACGAGUUCGGAUUUAAGCACGUAAUAUAAGUGGAUGAAACGGAUACUAAAAUUUAAUCGUCUUCGCCUAUUGUGAUUUUAAUAUCGCAUCUCUUUCGUCUGUCGCGGGUGCGACAUCGUUUUUAUUUCAUCUAUUCGGGCUCGUCCUAAAUUUUUGUGUUGUUCGGAACAUAGUGGUUCCGAAAAUCGGUGCGUCCGGUGAUUAUUUAAAAUUCAUCGCUCGCGUAUAUACGAAUUUGGAAAUUUAUUCCAGUCCUCCGAUUUCUUCUCAAACGAGAUUUAUUAGAACUCGACAACUAAAGUUUUAGGUGAAAAAUAAUUCUAUCUCAGCCCAUUAGCUGAGAAAUCACAUCCGAGGAUUUGAAAUUGAGAUUUAUUCGCUCAGUAAAUUAUCUACCCUAAAUUAAAUCAAGCGCAGGCUGUACUAGUUUGACUGGUAUCUUUUAUUUCAUCCAGCUUACUCCCGCGUAGAUUUAAUUUGAGAACUAAAUUAUCUGUAUAGUCUUUUGUGUAAAAAAAAGAGAAGAAAAAUUCUAUUUUUCUUUCACCAUUUUAUAUCCCAGUAUUAUCUCUUCCCCAUCGUAACUUCUCUCAUCCAAUGGACAGCGUUCUUCGUUUUUUUUUUUCGGCCACCGCUUUGGACUUCUGUAUUAUCCCGACGCCGCUUUAAUCCCUGGAGUUCCAUCUCCCGUAGCUGUACUUGGUCUUAUCCGUGUACAGAGCUCGUUCAUUUCUCCAACACGACAUCCCUCUCCAGCUCAUUCCAGCGCAUUCCACCAGUUGCUCUCUGCCGCGCCCCUGGCCCCUCUGUGCGAGCUCGUUCCAUAGCCGGCUUCGAGCUCGCCCUGCUCGGUCAUGGCGUGGACACCAGACGAGCUCCCUAGUGCUCGCCCCUCUCCAGCCGAGCUCCUCUCAUCUCUCCCUCGCGUCUUCCUCUCCCUGCCAUGGACGCCGGAGUUCCGCUACUCGCCAUGGCUGCCGGACGAGUCUCUUCCGUCUUUGCUCGACAUCUUCGAGCUUGGUUCCUGCGUGCGCGCUGCACUACUCCCAUGGCGUGUUCCUGCGCCCGGCUGGAUUUCCCUGCUGAGCUCGGUCACAUGCCUGGGCACCGUGUUCUGCACGCUCGCCGGUUUCUUCGCCUCCAUCAGCCGCGGCAACGUGCUCUUGCUGGCGCCCCUAGUCACAACUCGAGUUGUCUUUCUGGCUGGCCACCAGCGUGUCGUCUAGGGACGAUUCUUCACUGUUGCUUCUCCACGGCCGUCACCUUCCAUGGCCGGCGUUCCCCUCUCUUCCAUUGCCGCGAUGCUCCCUCGCUCCUGCUGCUCGCCGUGGCCAGCAGCUUCAAAUCCUUGUAGCAUGUCUCCGCACUCUGCGUCAUCACCGUCGUGGUUUUUGGAGUUCGUCGUGACGCGCUGCCGAUGAUCUGUGUAUAGCGGGAGAUCUUCGCAAGUUCACGCAGCUUCGUGGUAAUUAAUUUUGAUGGUGAUUUGUGUUAUUUAGCGCUAUGUUUGUUUCCUUUGUGUGUUUUUGUGUGCGACCGUGGAGAAAGAUUUGAUGCUGAAGCCGAAGCCAGCGCGAUGCUUCUCGAUUGUUCGAUGAAAUGGUCAAGUUGAGUAUUAGUGAACUAUAUUCGCUACCUCCGUUAGCAGAGUUAUUAGAUGGAUUAGCUAAGUAUGUUGAUUUGAUUAUCUUAUUUGCCUAUACCCAUAGUGGCGGUGUUAGAUAUUGGUUCAACUGCUUCGUAUAUACGGUGUGUAGUUUAAUUAAUAUCGUAAAAUAUAGUUUUAGUAUUCGAAACGAUUAGCUGUUAAGUCCUGAUAUUGUUGAUUGUACUAAUUGUAUUUAUAUAGUAAAAUCGAUAGCCUGUCUUAAUCGUCUUUUUAUCCUAUAUGUAGUAGUCGAUUAAAUGUCAUGGUUAGAUGUUACUUGUGC
RNAcentral lists this long non-coding RNA (8352 nucleotides) under Zea mays. RNAcentral describes it as "long non-coding RNA (ZMAY_LNC003422)". The record is from RNAcentral. Lineage: Eukaryota; Viridiplantae; Streptophyta; Magnoliopsida; Poales; Poaceae.